This 453-nucleotide unclassified non-coding RNA is filed under the name uncultured soil eukaryote. RNAcentral's name for it is "sequence contains 5.8S rRNA gene, ITS2, 28S rRNA gene". The stretch from base 1 to 152 matches the Rfam family "5.8S ribosomal RNA". The record is from RNAcentral.
AAUUCUCAACGAUGGAUAUCUUGGUUCCCAUAACGAUGAAGAACGCAGCGAAGUGCGAUAAGCAAUGCGAAUUGCAGAACCGUGAGUCAUCAGAUUUUUGAACGCAACUGGCGCCGACUGGCUCUCCAGUCGGCAUGCUUGUUUCAGUGUCUCUUUAUCUCAUCACCCAAAUCUUAAUGCGAGAGAUACCCUUCUCUUGCUAAGCAUGAAAGCACUCUACGCUUUGCGAGCGGCUUCGAUUCGUCGAUGUUCGCACUCAAUGCAGCAGUCACAUUCUUGUAAUGUGAACUCAUUGAGAGCUAAGGUAGUGCAGAGUAAUCUGCCAGUGCUUAGACACUCAAACUUUACUUGCAUCUGAAAUCAAGCAGGACCACCCGCUGAACUUAAGCAUAUCAUUAAGCGGAGGAGAAGAAAUUAACUAAGAUUGCCCUAGUAACGGCGAGUGAAGCGGCA